GGCGUGGCGCAGCUACACAUGCAGUCGAGCGGUAGAGAGAAGCUUGCUUCUCUUGAGAGCGGCGGACGGGUGAGUAAUGCCUAGGAAUCUGCCUGGUAGUGGGGGAUAACGUUCGGAAACGGACGCUAAUACCGCAUACGUCCUACGGGAGAAAGCAGGGGACCUUCGGGCCUUGCGCUAUCAGAUGAGCCUAGGUCGGAUUAGCUAGUUGGUGAGGUAAUGGCUCACCAAGGCGACGAUCCGUAACUGGUCUGAGAGGAUGAUCAGUCACACUGGAACUGAGACACGGUCCAGACUCCUACGGGAGGCAGCAGUGGGGAAUAUUGGACAAUGGGCGAAAGCCUGAUCCAGCCAUGCCGCGUGUGUGAAGAAGGUCUUCGGAUUGUAAAGCACUUUAAGUUGGGAGGAAGGGUUGUAGAUUAAUACUCUGCAAUUUUGACGUUACCGACAGAAUAAGCACCGGCUAACUCUGUGCCAGCAGCCGCGGUAAUACAGAGGGUGCAAGCGUUAAUCGGAAUUACUGGGCGUAAAGCGCGCGUAGGUGGUUUGUUAAGUUGGAUGUGAAAUCCCCGGGCUCAACCUGGGAACUGCAUUCAAAACUGACUGACUAGAGUAUGGUAGAGGGUGGUGGAAUUUCCUGUGUAGCGGUGAAAUGCGUAGAUAUAGGAAGGAACACCAGUGGCGAAGGCGACCACCUGGACUAAUACUGACACUGAGGUGCGAAAGCGUGGGGAGCAAACAGGAUUAGAUACCCUGGUAGUCCACGCCGUAAACGAUGUCAACUAGCCGUUGGAAGCCUUGAGCUUUUAGUGGCGCAGCUAACGCAUUAAGUUGACCGCCUGGGGAGUACGGCCGCAAGGUUAAAACUCAAAUGAAUUGACGGGGGCCCGCACAAGCGGUGGAGCAUGUGGUUUAAUUCGAAGCAACGCGAAGAACCUUACCAGGCCUUGACAUCCAAUGAACUUUCUAGAGAUAGAUUGGUGCCUUCGGGAACAUUGAGACAGGUGCUGCAUGGCUGUCGUCAGCUCGUGUCGUGAAGAAUUGUUGGGUUAGUCCCGUAACGAGCGCAACCCUUUGUCCUUAGUUUACCAGCACCGUUAAUGGGUGGGGC
Molecule: ribosomal RNA, 1111 nt
Filed under: Pseudomonas sp.
Lineage: Bacteria; Pseudomonadati; Pseudomonadota; Gammaproteobacteria; Pseudomonadales; Pseudomonadaceae
Description: bacterial SSU rRNA
Rfam family: Bacterial small subunit ribosomal RNA
Source: RNAcentral